Molecule: unclassified non-coding RNA, 263 nt
Filed under: plant metagenome
Description: partial contains small subunit ribosomal RNA, internal transcribed spacer 1, and 5.8S ribosomal RNA
Source: RNAcentral
UUUCCGUAGGUGAACCUGCGGAAGGAUCAUUAUCGAACUUUGACUGGGUUGUACCUGGCCUUCCGAGGCAUGCGCACGCCCUGCUCAUCCACUCUACACCUAUGGACUUACUGUGGGUAUCAUAUCGUGCAGCGUUCUCUUUUACCGGAGCUUGUGAAGCGUGUCUGUGCCUGCGUUUAACACAAACACAAUAAAGUCUCAGAAUGUGUAUUACGAUGUAUCGCAUCUAUAUACAACUUUCAGCAACGGAUCUCUUGGCUCUC